CAGUCGCCACGGGAAUACGUAGGCAGCGAGCGUUGUUCGGAAUUACUGGGCGUAAAGAGUGUGUAGGCGGUGCUAUAAGUUCGGUGUGAAAUCUCCCGGCUCAACUGGGAGGGUGCGCCGAAAACUGUAGUGCUCGAACGUGGGAGAGGAAAGCGGAAUUCCUGGUGUAGCGGUGAAAUGCGUAGAUAUCAGGAGGAACACCUGCGGUGUAGACGGCUUUCUGGACCAUUGUUGACGCUGAGACACGAAAGCGUGGGUAGCAAACAGGAUUAGAUACCCGGGUGGUCCCUGUCUCUUAUAC
This 301-nucleotide ribosomal RNA is filed under the name uncultured bacterium. RNAcentral's name for it is "partial 16S ribosomal RNA". It matches the Rfam family "Bacterial small subunit ribosomal RNA", at positions 509 to 807 of the family's 1533-position model. The record is from RNAcentral.